RNAcentral lists this transfer RNA (73 nucleotides) under Canis lupus familiaris (dog). RNAcentral's name for it is "tRNA-Lys (CTT) (tRNA-Lys-CTT-24-1)". It matches the Rfam family "tRNA". Rfam says of the family: Transfer RNA (tRNA) molecules are approximately 80 nucleotides in length. Lineage: Eukaryota; Metazoa; Chordata; Mammalia; Carnivora; Canidae. The record is from Rfam by way of RNAcentral.
GCCUGGCUGGCUCAGCUGGUGGAGCAUGAGACUCUUGAUCUCAGGGUUGUGAGUUUGAGCCCCACGUUGGGUG